AGAGUUUGAUCCUGGCUCAGAGCGAACGCUGGCGGCAUGCUUAACACAUGCAAGUCGCACGGUCAGCAAUGGCAGUGGCGGACGGGUGAGUAACGCGUAGGAAUCUAUCUCUGGGUGGGGGACAACCGUGGGAAACUACGGCUAAUACCGCAUGAUACCUGAGGGUCAAAGGCGUAAGUCGCCUGGAGAGGAGCCUGCGUCUGAUUAGCUAGUUGGUGGGGUAAAGGCUUACCAAGGCGACGAUCAGUAGCUGGUCUGAGAGGAUGAUCAGCCACAUUGGGACUGAGACACGGCCCAAACUCCUACGGGAGGCAGCAGUGGGGAAUAUUGGACAAUGGGCGCAAGCCUGAUCCAGCAAUGCCGCGUGUGCGAAGAAGGUCUUCGGAUUGUAAAGCACUUUUGGCAGGGACGAUGAUGACGGUACCUGCAGAAUAAGCCCCGGCUAACUUCGUGCCAGCAGCCGCGGUAAUACGAAGGGGGCUAGCGUUGCUCGGAAUGACUGGGCGUAAAGGGCGCGUAGGCGGCUGUCACAGUCAGAAGUGAAAUUCCUGGGCUCAACCUGGGGACUGCUUUUGAUACGUGGUGGCUUGAGUGGGGAAGAGGGUUGCGGAAUUUCCAGUGUAGAGGUGAAAUUCGUAGAUAUUGGAAAGAACACCGGUGGCGAAGGCGGCAACCUGGUCCUUUACUGACGCUGAGGCGCGAAAGCGUGGGGAGCAAACAGGAUUAGAUACCCUAGUAGUCC
This 742-nucleotide ribosomal RNA is filed under the name uncultured bacterium. RNAcentral describes it as "bacterial SSU rRNA". It matches the Rfam family "Bacterial small subunit ribosomal RNA", at positions 8 to 796 of the family's 1533-position model. The record is from RNAcentral.